Molecule: long non-coding RNA, 736 nt
Organism: Phacochoerus africanus (Common warthog)
Lineage: Eukaryota; Metazoa; Chordata; Mammalia; Artiodactyla; Suidae
Exons: 4
Source: RefSeq, a predicted model, not a curated record
UCUUGCUGUCCUUUGAGAGGCUUCAUUUAGUGCAAUACAUUUUUUCCCAAGUUUAAGGGGAAGGAAAAGCAUCUCUGAUUGAAGAAGCUGGAGAGAUUUAUGCCUCUCAUUCUGAUAAUUAUGGUAGAAUGUUGCCCCAUAUGCUGUGGGCAGUGCCUCCAAGAUGCCCGGGACAAAGACAAGGUUUGCAAGCCUGUGCGGCUGAGUGGCCACCCUCUGCUCUCAGUACCCCUACAGCAGUGAGGAUGGAUGUGCUCAUGUUUCUUACCAGCCCUGUUCUCCUUUAGACCAGUGACAUUUUGCCUGUAAAAAUAGAUCUGUCAGCAAGCUGGCUCAAGUGUCUUUCUCAGACCGAUGUGAGGCUCUGGUCACAAGAAAUACUGCAAAAGGGAAGCGCUACUGGCAUCUAGCAUCUAGUGACUGGAGGCCAAGGAUGCUCAUGAACAUUCCACAAUGCAAAGGAACAGACUGCACAGCAAAAUCCAGCUCAAAAGGUCAAUCGUUCCCAAGGGUAUCUUUGCAAGUGAGAAGAACCCCAGUCCUCCACUCUCCAUAUGCAUUUCUGUAACAUUUAGUAAUGUUUAUGAUUUGGAGAACAAAUUUAGAGAGAACGAUACAACAGAAGAUAUUCCAGAAUGGUAAAUCCAGGCCAAAAGCAUGGUGGAAACUGAGUGUCUCUGGUCCUCUAGAACACACGUGGACCUACUAUCUUCAAUGAAGUCUCACAACAGUGUCU